This 603-nucleotide ribosomal RNA is filed under the name uncultured fungus. RNAcentral's name for it is "eukaryotic LSU rRNA". It matches the Rfam family "Eukaryotic large subunit ribosomal RNA", at positions 23 to 641 of the family's 3401-position model. The record is from RNAcentral. Lineage: Eukaryota; Fungi.
ACCCGCUGAACUUAAGCAUAUCAAUAAGCGGAGGAAAAGAAACCAACAGGGAUUGCCCUAGUAACGGCGAGUGAAGCGGCAACAGCUCAAAUUUGAAAUCUGGCGUCUUUGGCGUCCGAGUUGUAAUUUGCAGAGGGCGCUUUGGCAUUGGCAGCGGUCCAAGUUCCUUGGAACAGGACGUCACAGAGGGUGAGAAUCCCGUACGUGGUCGCUAGCCUUUACCGUGUAAAGCCCCUUCGACGAGUCGAGUUGUUUGGGAAUGCAGCUCUAAAUGGGAGGUAAAUUUCUUCUAAAGCUAAAUACUGGCCAGAGACCGAUAGCGCACAAGUAGAGUGAUCGAAAGAUGAAAAGCACUUUGGAAAGAGAGUUAAAAAGCACGUGAAAUUGUUGAAAGGGAAGCGCUUGCAGCCAGACUUGCCUGCAGUUGCUCAUCCGGGUUUUUACCCGGUGCACUCUUCUAUAGGCAGGCCAGCAUCAGUUUGGGCGGUUGGAUAAAGGUCUCUGUCAUGUACCUCUCUUCGGGGAGAACUUAUAGGGGAGACGACAUGCAACCAGCCCGGACUGAGGUCCGCGCAUCUGCUAGGAUGCUGGCGUAAUGGCUGU